GAGGCAGCGCCGCCUGGGCCGCGUCCACACUGGAUGGGGGGAGACUGGGGGUCCCGAGCAAACGCGCGGGAAGGGCCGCGUUUGUGGGAGAGGCCGCGCUGGCUGCGGGGUCUCCAUCCUCGUAACCGCCGAGGCGGCCCGAAUGCGGCCCAGAGGACUGAGCGACAGACCCCAUCGGGCCCCGCAGCCCGGGGAGGCUCUACUGGAACAGAGCAUCUCUACUGAGCCGGAAGGAGGGGGACUCCAGGAACGGGAAUCUCACAGGGAAGAACCCCCGCUCCCUCCAGCCUCUGACCCGAGACACAUCAGAGCUUCAGAAGAGAAGCGGAAGAAACCCAGAAAAGGAGCGUAUCGCCCGGAGGGCCGAGGCUUGAGUGAUUUCACCACCAUCAGCUAAGGGAAAAAGCCUGAAAGGGGAGAUGACUUGUGAAGAAUCGGUAAGAGGCACAUAGAAGUCCUGGCAUGUGCUGUCCACACGAUCGCACGGAAACACGUUUCCUCUUAAAAAAAUCCUUUUGAGGACGUCCCCGGUGGUCCAGUGGGAUUAAAGGUUACCCAGCUGGCGUGUGGAAGUUUUUAGGAAGAGCGUUGAGGAGCUCUCAUCAUCCUGUUCCUCGUUCCUCCUCUUCCAGGAAUGCCUUCCCAGGUUUUGACAGUCUUCCAAGAACAACAGAAAAUGAACAAAUCCCAGGCCAUUAGCCCUUCAAAGUCCAGAUGCAUGCCGUGUUCAUCUUCAUAUUUGCCGUUCCUCACCCUGUGCCUUGCUCCUGAAGUGUGCUGGCCAGGGAUCCAUGUCAUUCAGGGACGUGACUGUGGACUUCACCUGGGAUGAGUGGCUACAGCUGACCUGUAUG
This is a long non-coding RNA of Eubalaena glacialis (North Atlantic right whale), 854 nucleotides long. RefSeq lists it as uncharacterized. NCBI's taxonomy places the organism in Eukaryota, Metazoa, Chordata, Mammalia, Artiodactyla, Balaenidae. The record is from RefSeq and is a predicted model, not a curated record. The transcript is spliced from 6 exons.